This 253-nucleotide ribosomal RNA is filed under the name uncultured bacterium. RNAcentral describes it as "partial 16S ribosomal RNA". It matches the Rfam family "Bacterial small subunit ribosomal RNA", at positions 524 to 776 of the family's 1533-position model. The record is from RNAcentral.
UACAGAGGUGGCAAGCGUUGUUCGGAAUUAUUGGGCGUAAAGAGCUCGUAGGCGGCUUGUCGCGUCGGAUGUGAAAGCCCGGGGCUUAACUCCGGGUCUGCAUUCGAUACGGGCAGGCUAGAGUUCGGUAGGGGAGAUCGGAAUUCCUGGUGUAGCGGUGAAAUGCGCAGAUAUCAGGAGGAACACCGGUGGCGAAGGCGGAUCUCUGGGCCGAUACUGACGCUGAGGAGCGAAAGCGUGGGGAGCGAACAGG